This 440-nucleotide ribosomal RNA is filed under the name uncultured bacterium. RNAcentral describes it as "partial 16S ribosomal RNA". It matches the Rfam family "Bacterial small subunit ribosomal RNA", at positions 338 to 795 of the family's 1533-position model. The record is from RNAcentral.
CCUACGGGCGGCAGCAGUGGGGAAUAUUGCACAAUGGGGGAAACCCUGAUGCAGCGACGCCGCGUGAGUGAAGAAGUAAUUCGUUAUGUAAAGCUCUAUCAGCAGGGAAGAAAAUGACGGUACCUGAGUAAGAAGCCCCGGCGAACUACGUGCCAGCAGCCGCGGUAAUACGUAGGGGGCAAGCGUUAUCCGGAUUUACUGGGUGGAAAGGGAGCGUAGACGGCAGUGCAAGUCUGGAGUGAAAGGCGGGGGCUCAACCCCCGGACUGCUCUGGAUACUGUACGGCUGGAGUGCAGGAGAGGUAAGUGGAAUUCCUAGUGUAGCGGUGAAAUGCGUAGAUAUUAGGAGGAACACCAGUGGCGAAGGCGGCUUACUGGACUGUAACUGACGUUGAGGCGCGAAAGCGUGGGGAGCAAACAGGAUUAGAUACCCCUGUAGUC